UAACAUGCUCUUGUCCUGAAUAUGUCUUUAAGAGAAUUCCAUACAAAGAUCGUCUCGUCAGCUUUUACUUAAAGCAAUAUAUGGAAUUAUCAGUUAAAGAAUGUGCAGAGAAGUGUUCGGAAACGUCAAACUGUGAUUCAUUUUCUUACAAGCCAGAAACCAUCGGCAUUAGUGAAUGUUAUUUAUGUUACAAACGAGCAUGGGCUGGGCAAGUAUCUGACCAGUAUGAUGGUUUAGUUACAUACUGGCGCUUAGCAGAUAGCUGCCCUGUAGAUUAUAUCUACAAUGAAACUUACAAUGUAUGUUAUAAGCAGUACAUAGAAACCCUUAAAGACUGGUUGACUGCCAUGGAUCAGUGUGAACAAGAUGGUGGAUAUUUGUUUAUUGCUAAUACCAUGGACAAGUUGCAGAUGCUGGAUGACUACUUAAAGUCGUUACCAGCGUCUUCCUCAACUUUAUUCCGUUAUAUUGGUGCCACCGAUAAUGAGCACGAAGGUAUAUGGGAAUGGCUGGACGGAUCUGAAAGAUUUCAUUGGUCUGGCACAGUACCAAAUGGAGAUGACACUACGAACUGUGCAGGACUGAACCCGAAACAAACUCAACCAUCUCAACUUC
Molecule: long non-coding RNA, 615 nt
Organism: Patella vulgata (common limpet)
Lineage: Eukaryota; Metazoa; Mollusca; Gastropoda; Patellidae
Exons: 3
Source: RefSeq, a predicted model, not a curated record